Molecule: ribosomal RNA, 1159 nt
Filed under: Clostridioides difficile
Lineage: Bacteria; Bacillati; Bacillota; Clostridia; Peptostreptococcales; Peptostreptococcaceae
Description: bacterial LSU rRNA
Rfam family: Bacterial large subunit ribosomal RNA (bases 277-1147)
Source: RNAcentral
CCUGACUUUUAAUCAGGGUGUCCCGCGUUCGAGUCGCGGAUAGAUCACCAAAAAGGUGGCGACAUAGCCAAGUGGUAAGGCAGUGGACUGCAACUCCUUGAUCCCCAGUUCGAAUCUGGGUGUCGCCUCCAAAAUAUUCCAAGGUAGCUCAACGGUGGAGCAACCGGCUGUUAACCGGUAGGCUGUGGGUUCGAGCCCCACCCUUGGAGCCAAAAAAAGCCGAAGUGGCAGGUGUAGCGCAGUUUGGUAGCGCACAUGGUUUGGGACCAUGGGGCCGGGGGUUCGAGUCCCUUCACCUCGACCAAUAUAAGGUGGGUAUAGCUCAGUUGGUUAGAGCGCCAGAUUGUGGCUCUGGAGGUCGUGAGUUCGACUCUCAUUAUCCACCCCAAAUUAUAUGGUCUAUUAGCUCAGUCGGUANNNNNNNNNNNNNNNNNNNNNACCCUUGUAGUACUGGGACUCUAACCAUAGGCCAUGAAUCUGGUCUUGGGACACUGUCAGGUGGGCAGUUUGACUGGGGCGGUCGCCUCCCAAAAGGUAACGGAGGCGCUCAAAGGUUCUCUCAGUACGGUCGGAAAUCGUACGUAGAGUGUAAAGGCAAAAGAGAGCUUGAUUGCAAGACAUACAGGUCGAGCAAGGAUGAAAAUCGGACUUAGUGAUCCGGUGGUUCUGCGUGGAAGGGCCAUCGCUCAACGGAUAAAAGCUACCCUGGGGAUAACAGGCUUAUCUCCCCCAAGAGUCCACAUCGACGGGGAGGUUUGGCACCUCGAUGUCGGCUCAUCACAUCCUGGGGCUGUAGUAGGUCCCAAGGGUUGGGCUGUUCGCCCAUUAAAGUGGUACGCGAGCUGGGUUCAGAACGUCGUGAGACAGUUCGGUCCCUAUCCGUCGCAGGCGUAGGAAAUUUGAGAAGACCUGUCCUUAGUACGAGAGGACCGGGAUGGACGUACCUCUGGUGUACCAGUUGUCCUGCCAAGGGCAUGGCUGGGUAGCUAUGUACGGAAUGGAUAAGCGCUGAAAGCAUCUAAGCGCGAAGCCAACUUCAAGAUAAGAUUUCCCACCGCAAGGGUAAGACCCCAGAAAGACUAUCUGGUUGAUAGGUCGAAGGUGUAAGUGCAGCAAUGUAUUUAGCUUAUCGAUACUAAUAGGUCGAGGACUUGACCAA